Molecule: ribosomal RNA, 200 nt
Filed under: uncultured prokaryote
Description: partial 16S ribosomal RNA
Rfam family: Bacterial small subunit ribosomal RNA
Source: RNAcentral
AUGUCAAAUCAUCAUGCCCUAUAUGCCCUGGGCUACACACGUACUACAAUGGCCGAGACAAAGGGAAGCGAAGUAGAGAUAUGGAGCGAAACCCAAAAAUCGGUCUCAGUUCGGAUUGAAGGCUGAAAUUCGCCUACAUGAAGCCGGAAUUGCUAGUAAUGGCAGGUCAGCAUACUGCCGUGAAUACGUUCCCGGGCCUU